ACUCAUGUGACUCAAGCAAACCAUGAAAUAAGAAGGAGGAGCUUAUUUAACAUGUUUGAGCAACUGGUGUAAAAUCUGGGAGGAGCAGAACAAAAACCCUAGCUCCUGACCAAUCAUAACUUGGCGACUCCCAUGUUCAUGUUUAUAAAUCCUUCAAAAAAAUCAUUCUGCUUGUUGAUGAACAUCGCAAAUCUUUCUUUCCAACCGAAGAGAAAGAUGAAUUUCUUUAUCGUGCUUCUUGGGAUUUGGCUUCUUCCAAAGGCUGCGGCUCUGAAGUGUUAUGAAUGCUCAACAUCAGAUCCCAAGGGCUGCACUGGCCAAAAAGUAGAAUGUCCUUCAGAGAAUCAUCAGUGUGCUUCAGUGUUCGCCAAAGAUGGUUCAUCAGGUAAUAAAACACAAGGCAAGGGUUGUGUCCCGCCUGGAAUGUGUGGAGAGUUUUCUUCUAACUUUGGAGAGGCAAAUAAAUAUGGCAUUGUCAAGUGCUGCAACUCAGACCUCUGCAACACUGAACCUG
Long non-coding RNA from Oryzias melastigma (Indian medaka), 514 nucleotides. RefSeq lists it as uncharacterized. NCBI's taxonomy places the organism in Eukaryota, Metazoa, Chordata, Actinopteri, Beloniformes, Adrianichthyidae. The record is from RefSeq and is a predicted model, not a curated record. The transcript has 3 exons.